GGGGGGGGGGGCAAGCGUUGUUCGGAAUUACUGGGCGUAAAGGGCGCGCAGGCGGGCCCGGCCAGUCCCUUGUGAAAUCCCACGGGCUCAACUGUGGAACUGCAGGGGAUACUGCCAGGCUUGAGUCCGGGAGAGGGUAGUGGAAUUCCCAGUGUAGCGGUGAAAUGCGUAGAUAUUGGGAGGAACACCGGUGGCGAAGGCGGCUACCUGGACCGGUACUGACGCUGAGGCGCGAAAGCUAGGGGAGCAAACGGGAUUAGAUACCCCGGUAGUCCUAGCUGUAAACGUUGAGCACUUGGUGUGGCGGGUAUCGACCCCUGCUGUGCCGAAGCUAACGCAUUAAGUGCUCCGCCUGGGGAGUACGGUCGCAAAGGCUG
This 377-nucleotide ribosomal RNA is filed under the name uncultured organism. RNAcentral describes it as "partial 16S ribosomal RNA". It matches the Rfam family "Bacterial small subunit ribosomal RNA", at positions 524 to 896 of the family's 1533-position model. The record is from RNAcentral.